Molecule: small nuclear RNA, 104 nt
Organism: Heterocephalus glaber (naked mole-rat)
Lineage: Eukaryota; Metazoa; Chordata; Mammalia; Rodentia; Bathyergidae
Source: Ensembl
UAGCUUUGACAGCAAAUAUACUAAAAUUGGAGCAGUGCAAAGACAAUUAGCAUGGUCUCUGCACAAGGAAAACAUACAGAUUUGAAGUAGUAGAUGUAAGUUUA